This 253-nucleotide ribosomal RNA is filed under the name uncultured bacterium. Its description in RNAcentral is "partial 16S ribosomal RNA". It matches the Rfam family "Bacterial small subunit ribosomal RNA", at positions 524 to 776 of the family's 1533-position model. The record is from RNAcentral.
UACGGAGGGAGCAAGCGUUGUUCGGAAUUACUGGGCGUAAAGGGCGCGUAGGCGGCCAGUUGCGGCGGGUGUGAAAGCCCCGGGCUCAACCUGGGAGGUGCACUUGAUACGGGCUGGCUGGAAUCCGGGAGAGGAUGGUGGAAUUCCCAGUGUAGAGGUGAAAUUCGUAGAUAUUGGGAAGAACACCGAUGGCGAAGGCAGCCAUCUGGACCGGGAUUGACGCUGCGGCGCGACAGCGUGGGGAGCACACAGG